AUAGGCUCCAUACCCAACGUGGGGCUUGAACUCACAACCCUGAGAUUAAGAGUCACAUGCUCUACCAACUGAGCCAAU
This 78-nucleotide transfer RNA is filed under the name Canis lupus dingo (dingo). The record is from RNAcentral. Lineage: Eukaryota; Metazoa; Chordata; Mammalia; Carnivora; Canidae.